GACAGAGGGUGCAAACGUUGCUCGGAAUCACUGGGCGUAAAGGGCGUGUAGGCGGGAAGGAAAGUCAGAUGUGAAAUCCCUGGGCUCAACCCAGGAACUGCAUUUGAAACUCCCUUUCUUGAGUACCGGAGAGGAAGGUGGAAUUCCUGGUGUAGAGGUGAAAUUCGUAGAUAUCAGGAGGAACACCGGUGGCGAAGGCGGCCUUCUGGACGGUAACUGACGCUGAGACGCGAAAGCGUGGGGAGCGAACAGG
Molecule: ribosomal RNA, 253 nt
Filed under: uncultured bacterium
Lineage: Bacteria
Description: partial 16S ribosomal RNA
Rfam family: Bacterial small subunit ribosomal RNA
Source: RNAcentral